Molecule: ribosomal RNA, 552 nt
Filed under: Triticum aestivum (bread wheat)
Lineage: Eukaryota; Viridiplantae; Streptophyta; Magnoliopsida; Poales; Poaceae
Description: partial small subunit ribosomal RNA
Source: RNAcentral
UCCGUGGAUUGAAGGGAGAAGGGCGUCGUCGCGCCUGUGAAGAACCAGUGCCAGUGCGGGAGCUGCUGGGUGCUCUCAACGGUCGCCGCGGUGGAGGGCGUCAACAAGAUCGUCACCGGCGACCUCGUGAGGCUGUCGGAACAGGAGCUCGUAGACUGCUCGCGCAACACCCAGAACAGUGGGUGCAACGGCGGCAUCAUGGACGACGCCUGCGCCUUCAUCGCCCAGAAAGGCGGCAUCGACACCGAGGAGGACUACCCUUACACCGCCAAGGAGGGCAAAUGCAACCUCGCCAAGAAGGCCCGCAAGGUCGUCUCCAUCGAUGGCUUUGAGGACGUGCCCGCAGACGACAAGGCGCCGCUGAUGAAGGCCGUGGCGCACCAGCUGGUGAGCGUGGCCGCGUCGCCAUCGAGGCCGGCGGGCGCGAGUUCCAGCUCUACGAGUCCAGGGUCUUCACGGGACGGUGCGGCACGGAGCUGGACCACGCCGCGCUCGCGCGGUGGGCUACAGGUCGGAGGCGGACGGUGGCAGUACUUAGAACUAUGUUUUUAG